Molecule: long non-coding RNA, 223 nt
Filed under: Marmota marmota marmota (Alpine marmot)
Lineage: Eukaryota; Metazoa; Chordata; Mammalia; Rodentia; Sciuridae
Description: lncRNA (ENSMMMG00000015369.1)
Source: RNAcentral
GACCGCGGGACUCCCAGGACCCCAGGGUGCAUUUGAGGAUUUUGCGCCAUGGAGGACCGGACUCGGCUGGACUCGGCUGGUAACAUCAGGAGUUAUGGACCAAUUCACAUCUGGACUAGCCUUUCAGGCUGACCCUCAACAUUCUAAAAAAUGCAGGGUGUCCAAAUGACUUCUGGAGAAAUGUCUCUGCCAACGACUUUACAAAUAUUAAAUGCAACUGUGC